GAUGUUUAUGUAUUUGGAAAAAUGUUUCUCUCAAAUAUUUUACGUAUAAAAGAUAUUAGUGUCUAGCUUCUAUUCAAUAAACAAGAAAUCAUUAACGUGACAUUGUCACAAUGUUCAAUAACAUCUAAUAUUUCCAAUAUGUAGUUAACAUUGAUAACAUUAUCAAACUGUCCUAGCAAAACAAGUUCAACAAGUAUUCGGGGUUGCAAUAUACGCACUCUAUAACAAUGUGAUAGGCUGCUCGUUCGAAGGUUCAUUACACGAUUACAGGAAGUUACAUGAUUCUCGCCACGACCUACUCUCCAUUGAAAAUAUGAACGUCGCCAGUUUCCCCCGCCUUAUAAGGAUACUGCUGCACCUACAUCCAGGUUGUCUCGCUAUCGCCUUUUCGCUCGAUCGAACCGACAAUAAAUAGGCAAUGCAUCCACUUCAAUUCACCCACAGUAAAAAAAACGUACAAAAUAAGAGAUAAAUAAAAUCGCAAUGCGUAUGCAAAAAACGCAGAAAUAUUACAGAAUUAUUAUUAUUAGAAUGAUCGAAAGAUAUCUAAAGAAGCCACGUACAAUCAGUAAACGAUGUUUUUGCGGAUUCUAUCG
This is a long non-coding RNA of Camponotus floridanus (Florida carpenter ant), 596 nucleotides long. RefSeq lists it as uncharacterized. The transcript is spliced from 3 exons. NCBI's taxonomy places the organism in Eukaryota, Metazoa, Arthropoda, Insecta, Hymenoptera, Formicidae. The record is from RefSeq and is a predicted model, not a curated record.